UACGUAGGGUGCAAGCGUUGUCCGGAAUUAUUGGGCGUAAAGAGCUCGUAGGCGGUUUGUCGCGUCUGCCGUGAAAACUCGGGGCUCAACUCCGAGCUUGCAGUGGGUACGGGCAGACUAGAGUGCGGGAGGGGAGACUGGAAUUCCUGGUGUAGCGGUGGAAUGCGCAGAUAUCGGGAGGAACACCAGUAGCGAAGGCGGCUCGCUGGGCCACACCUGACGCUGAGACGCGAAAGCUAGGGGAGCGAACAGG
Molecule: ribosomal RNA, 253 nt
Filed under: uncultured bacterium
Lineage: Bacteria
Description: partial 16S ribosomal RNA
Rfam family: Bacterial small subunit ribosomal RNA
Source: RNAcentral